This 253-nucleotide ribosomal RNA is filed under the name uncultured bacterium. RNAcentral's name for it is "partial 16S ribosomal RNA". It matches the Rfam family "Bacterial small subunit ribosomal RNA", at positions 524 to 776 of the family's 1533-position model. The record is from RNAcentral.
UACAGAGGGUGCGAGCGUUGUCCGGAAUCACUGGGCGUAAAGGGCGCGUAGGUGGCCCGACAAGUCAAUGGUGAAAGUUCGACGCUUAACGUCGAAUCGGCCACUGAUACUGUUGGGCUGGAGCACUGUAGAGGCUCAUGGAAUUCCGGGUGUAGCGGUGGAAUGCGUAGAGAUCCGGAAGAACACCGGUGGCGAAGGCGGUGAGCUGGGCAGUUGCUGACACUGAGGCGCGACAGCGUGGGGAGCAAAAGGG